UACAGAGGGUGCAAGCGUUAAUCGGAAUUACUGGGCGUAAAGCGCACGUAGGCGGUUUUUUAAGUCAGAUGUGAAAGCCCCGGGCUCAACCUGGGAAUUGCAUUUGAAACUGGGAAACUGGAGUGUGUGAGAGGGGGGUAGAAUUCCAAGUGUAGCGGUGAAAUGCGUAGAGAUUUGGAGGAAUACCAGUGGCGAAGGCGGCCCCCUGGCACAACACUGACGCUCAGGUGCGAAAGCGUGGGGAGCAAACAGG
This 253-nucleotide ribosomal RNA is filed under the name uncultured bacterium. Its description in RNAcentral is "partial 16S ribosomal RNA". It matches the Rfam family "Bacterial small subunit ribosomal RNA", at positions 524 to 776 of the family's 1533-position model. The record is from RNAcentral.